Long non-coding RNA from Ornithorhynchus anatinus (platypus), 1067 nucleotides. RefSeq lists it as uncharacterized. The record is from RefSeq and is a predicted model, not a curated record. Lineage: Eukaryota; Metazoa; Chordata; Mammalia; Monotremata; Ornithorhynchidae. The transcript has 3 exons.
AAGUGGCAGAGCUGGAAUUAGAACCCAGGUCCUUCUGACUCCCAGGCCCGAGCUCUAUCCACUAGGCCAUAACUGACCUGUAAGGCUGUUCACUUCACACCGAGAUACUUACGAGAUACUACGGUUGGUCAGUGGUCACGGCUGUGGUCAUGGUGACAGGGAACAGCUACUCUGGGACGGAAGUUCAGAGCCAAGGGAAGGGUCGGACCAGGGUCCGCAGGGGUUCCUGAUGCCCGGAGAAUCGUCUCUGCCGGACACCGAAGCAGAAAAUGGCCAAGUGGCAGGGUGGCGGUCCAAGAGCCGGAGGGCCCAGGUUCCUGUCCGAGCUGUGCCGUUAACCCGGCGUGAUGCUGUGGGGUUGGUGCAUGGGCCGAAAUGAACUGCUUAACGUGGGAGAACUUUGGCAAGAAAAUUGCUAUAGAAAACCAAGGAAACAGAAGACUGCCGUCCUGAUCCUCACAACACGGAACGCUGCAGUGGACUGUGGUCACCCGGGGUCCGUGGAAUGGAACGGUCGCGUUGCUUCUCUCCAGGUGAGACACCAGAGCCAUAAAUAAGAGAGGAACAGCUCAAUUCAGUUCAUCAAGAUUUACCAUCUGCCUCUCCUCUGCCCAGCAGUUACCACCGGAUCAGAGCUGGCAUUGCCCGAUGCCGGGAUGCGAUUUUUUUACGCAGCCAUUCGAGAAGCGCUUAGUACGGUGCUCCGCACGCACUAAGCAUUCAAUAAAUACUACUGAAGACGAAGAAGCAACAGCGAAGCUAAGACCCAGCUAGGAGGGCUCUGGUUUUGAGGACAGAAUAGAUUAAUCUGUAAUAGGAAGGAGUUUGAAUGCCUGAAUAAACUGCCUCCUUAAUCCGAAUGGAUUUAGCAGCGCAAUUCUUGCGAUCUGAAUUAUUUUAUUUGUUGUCACAUCACCUGUGGAAAUCUAGCUUAUCCUUGGACUCAUCUUCAAUUUCACUCUCCUCUGCCCACUACCAGCAUUUGUCAGUAGACCUCUCCAGCUCUCCCCUCCAGACUCUGAGCUCAUUGUAGGCGGGGAUUGUCACUGUUUAUUGUUGCACUGUUC